GCCUUUGUGGUGUAACGGUAGCACACUCGGCGCGUAUUCGAGAGGUCCAGGUUCGAGUCCCAGCGAGGGCA
RNAcentral lists this transfer RNA (71 nucleotides) under Stegodyphus mimosarum. It matches the Rfam family "tRNA". Rfam says of the family: Transfer RNA (tRNA) molecules are approximately 80 nucleotides in length. Their secondary structure includes four short double-helical elements and three loops (D, anti-codon, and T loops). The record is from Rfam by way of RNAcentral. Lineage: Eukaryota; Metazoa; Arthropoda; Arachnida; Araneae; Eresidae.